UCUUUAUACUGCCAGAUUCCAUUGAAAA
RNAcentral lists this small RNA (28 nucleotides) under Bombyx mori (domestic silkworm). RNAcentral's name for it is "ovarian small RNA-30250". Lineage: Eukaryota; Metazoa; Arthropoda; Insecta; Lepidoptera; Bombycidae. The record is from RNAcentral.